ACCGACCGCAAGAUUCCCUGCAUUACGGGGAGCCCUAGGCAGGCACCUUUAACCUUGAGCCUGCUCGCUAGCGACCUCCAGAGGGCCAGGAUGGUUUGGGACCGGUGUGAUAGAGCACUUUAGUUUUAACGACUCUAUUUGCAUAACGGAGACCGCGCUUCCUCUCGCCGGUCUGCAGUGCUUUUCUUCCCUCCUUCCCGGUCUCCUGUACCCACAUCUCCGGUCCUUCUCUGCUUCCUAGAAGAUCCCUUCUUAAGGGGACUCACUCGGAGCUUGAGUCCCGGGCUCUUCUCCCUCCGCCCGGCGAGGUCCGGAGGCACCUGGGGGAGUGGAAUUGAGCACCAGACUGGGCUGGGGAGCCGCCCUGGCACUGCCCGACCCUAACAAAGGGAAUCGGGCUGCGCGCCGCGCGAGCGCUCGGUGGGCUGGCUCAGCGACCGCCGCCUUCUUCCAGAUUAAGAGCGCUGCAAGCAGGGGUAGAGCAGCUGUGCCGAGCUCCCGCAGCCAGCAGCUGACAGAGAAGCUAUCAGUGCCCUAGAAGUCAACUGAAAUGAACUGGCCCCCUUGAGCCUUCCCCAAAUACCUGGUACCCAGUUUCCAGCCGGAUGCUGAGGGACUUGAUUUUCCUUCUUGAUGCUGAUGCAGAUGGAGAAGGUCUUACCCUAAGGACUGAGGAAUCUUUGUGAGAUGGUUUUUGAUCAUCCUGAGAAAAAUGAGCCUUGGCCUCCAGACCUAGUAAAGUAAACCUCUUUCCCAUGGAGAACAGUGCUGGCUCCUGAGGACCUGGAAGGCCCACAGUCCCAGACGGAUUAGCCAGAAGCAGGCUUGGUUCCUGCUCUGAACAGCGGCUCUCCUGCCUGCACCAUUCAUUAUGAUUCAUACCAA
Mastomys coucha (southern multimammate mouse) is the source of this 885-nucleotide long non-coding RNA. RefSeq lists it as uncharacterized. The record is from RefSeq and is a predicted model, not a curated record. The transcript is spliced from 5 exons. Lineage: Eukaryota; Metazoa; Chordata; Mammalia; Rodentia; Muridae.